This 834-nucleotide ribosomal RNA is filed under the name Rothia sp. (in: high G+C Gram-positive bacteria). Its description in RNAcentral is "Rothia sp. (human oral metagenome) partial 23S ribosomal RNA". It matches the Rfam family "Bacterial large subunit ribosomal RNA", at positions 1401 to 2464 of the family's 2925-position model. Lineage: Bacteria; Bacillati; Actinomycetota; Actinomycetes; Micrococcales; Micrococcaceae. The record is from RNAcentral.
UCCUAAUGGAGAGGCCGAUGGCAGAAACGGUUAAUAUUCCGUUACUAUCUAUUGGGGCGAUGUGGAGACGGAGGAGUGACACUUCCGCGAGCUGACGGAAUAGCUCGUUAAAGACCGUAGGUGUUGAGGAUGGCAGGCAAAUCCACCAUCCGAGCUGAAAGUCGAUAGUAUGCAGCGUCUUCGGACAAUGCAAUAGCGAAGGUAAUCCUACUCCCGAGAAAAUCCGCUAAGCAUCACUUAUGGGGCACCCGUACCGCAAACGGACACACGUAGUCGGGUAGAACAUACUAAGGCGUUGAGAGAUUCAUGAUUNNNNNNNNNNCGGUCCUAAGGUAGCGAAAUUCCUUGUCGGGUAAGUUCCGACCUGCACGAAUGGUGUAAUGAUCUGGACGCUGUCUCAACCAUGAUCUCAGUGAAAUUGUAGUAUCGGUGAAGAUGCCGAUUACCCGCGAUGGGACGAAAAGACCCCGUGAACCUUUACUACAGCUUAGCAUUGACCUUGGUCAUCCGAUGUGUAGGAUAGGCCGGAGGCUUCGAAGCGGGUGCGCCAGCAUUCGUGGAGCCAUCCUUGAAAUACGGCCCUUUGGCUGUCUGAGGUCUAACGCGCCUAUGGUGCGGACACUGCUUGGUGGGUAGUUUGACUGGGGUGGUCGCCUCCAAAAGCGUAACGGAGGCUUCCAAAGGUGCCCUCGGGCCGAUUGGUAACCGGCCUUAUAGAGUGCAAUGGCAUAAGGGCGCUUGACUGGGAGGCAGACAUGCCGAGCAGGCAGGAAACUGGGGCAUAGUGAUCCGGCGGAUGUGUAUGGAAACUCCAUCGCUCAAAGGAUAAAAGGU